Molecule: ribosomal RNA, 253 nt
Filed under: uncultured bacterium
Lineage: Bacteria
Description: partial 16S ribosomal RNA
Rfam family: Bacterial small subunit ribosomal RNA
Source: RNAcentral
UACAUGGGGUGCAAACGUUGCUCGGAAUUAUUGGGCGUAAAGCGCACGUAGGCGGUUUGUUAAGUCGGAUGUGAAAGCCCACGGCUCAACCGUGGAGGGUCAUUGGAAACUGGGGAACUUGAGUGCAGAAGAGAAAAGCGGAAUUCCACGUGUAGCGGUGAAAUGCGUAGAGAUGUGGAGGAACACCAGUGGCGAAGGCGGCUUUUUGGUCUGUAACUGACGCUGAGGCGCGAAAGCGUGGGGAGCAAACAGG